RNAcentral lists this ribosomal RNA (429 nucleotides) under Pseudomonadota bacterium. Its description in RNAcentral is "Proteobacteria bacterium partial 16S ribosomal RNA". It matches the Rfam family "Bacterial small subunit ribosomal RNA", at positions 355 to 776 of the family's 1533-position model. The record is from RNAcentral. Lineage: Bacteria; Pseudomonadati; Pseudomonadota.
UGGGGAAUAUUGGACAAUGGGCGAAAGCCUGAUCCAGCCAUGCCGCGUGUGUGAAGAAGGUCUUCGGAUUGUAAAGCACUUUAAGGUGGGAGGAAGGGCAGUAAGCGAAUAACUUGCUGUUUUGACGUUACCGACAGAAUAAGCACCGGCUAACUCUGUGCCAGCAGCCGCGGUAAUACAGAGGGUGCAAGCGUUAAUCGGAAUUACUGGGCGUAAAGCGCGCGUAGGUGGUUCGUUAAGUUGAAUGUGAAAGCCCCGGGCUCAACCUGGGAACUGCAUCCAAAACUGGCGAGCUAGAGUAGGGCAGAGGGUGGUGGAAUUUCCUGUGUAGCGGUGAAAUGCGUAGAUAUAGGAAGGAACACCAGUGGCGAAGGCGACCACCUGGGCUCAUACUGACACUGAGGUGCGAAAGCGUGGGGAGCAAACAGG